RNAcentral lists this unclassified non-coding RNA (263 nucleotides) under Tolypocladium sp. Its description in RNAcentral is "partial contains 5.8S ribosomal RNA, internal transcribed spacer 2, and large subunit ribosomal RNA". Lineage: Eukaryota; Fungi; Ascomycota; Sordariomycetes; Hypocreales; Ophiocordycipitaceae. The record is from RNAcentral.
CGCACAUUGCGCCCGCUAGUAUUCUGGCGGGCAUGCCUGUUCGAGCGUCAUUUCAACCCUCAAGACCCCCUUUCGGGAGACUUGGUGUUGGGGAUCGGCCCCGCUUGUCGGUGGCCGGCCCCGAAAUACAGUUGCGGUCACGCCGCGGCUUCCUCUGCGUAGUAACUAACCUCGCAUCGGGACGCGGCGCAACCACGCAGUAAAAAAGAUAAAUUUCUCACAAGUUUGACCUCGGAUCAGGUAGGAAUACCCGCUGAACUUAA